AACGCACAUUGCGCCCGCUAGUAUUCUGGCGGGCAUGCCUGUCCGAGCGUCAUUUCAACCCAUCAAGCUUAGCGCUUGUGUUGGAGCCCUGCGGCCGCCGCAGCCUCCUAAAAUCAGUGGCGGGCUCGCUAUCACGCUGAGUGCAGUAGUAUUCUUCUCACUCCUGUGGUGUAGCGGGUGACCAGCCGUAAAACCCACCCAUAUCUAAAGGUUGACCUCGGAUCAGGUAGGAAUACCCGCUGAACUUAA
Molecule: unclassified non-coding RNA, 249 nt
Filed under: uncultured Lasiosphaeriaceae
Lineage: Eukaryota; Fungi; Ascomycota; Sordariomycetes; Sordariales; Lasiosphaeriaceae
Also listed under: 1 other name
Description: sequence contains ITS2
Source: RNAcentral